This 253-nucleotide ribosomal RNA is filed under the name uncultured bacterium. RNAcentral's name for it is "partial 16S ribosomal RNA". It matches the Rfam family "Bacterial small subunit ribosomal RNA", at positions 524 to 776 of the family's 1533-position model. The record is from RNAcentral.
UACGUAGGGCGCAAGCGUUGUCCGGAAUUAUUGGGCGUAAAGAGCUCGUAGGCGGCUUGUCACGUCGGGUGUGAAAGCCCGGGGCUUAACCCCGGGUCUGCAUUCGAUACGGGCAGGCUAGAGUGUGGUAGGGGAGAUCGGAAUUCCUGGUGUAGCGGUGAAAUGCGCAGAUAUCAGGAGGAACACCGGUGGCGAAGGCGGGUCUCUGGGCCGAAAUUGACGCUGAGGAGCGAAAGCGUGGGGAGCAAACAGG